RNAcentral lists this ribosomal RNA (486 nucleotides) under uncultured bacterium. RNAcentral's name for it is "partial 16S ribosomal RNA". It matches the Rfam family "Bacterial small subunit ribosomal RNA", at positions 30 to 507 of the family's 1533-position model. The record is from RNAcentral.
AUUGAACGCUGGCGGCAUGCCUUACACAUGCAAGUCGAACGGCAGCACGGGUGCUUGCACCUGGUGGCGAGUGGCGAACGGGUGAGUAAUACAUCGGAACAUGUCCUGUAGUGGGGGAUAGCCCGGCGAAAGCCGGAUUAAUACUGCAUACGAUCUACGGAUGAAAGCGGGGGACCUUCGGGCCUCGCGCUUUGGGGUUGGCCGAUGGCUGAUUAGCUAGUUGGUGGGGUAAAGGCCUACCAAGGCGACGAUCAGUAGCCGGUCUGAGAGGGCGACCAGCCACACUGGAACUGAGACACGGCCCAGACUCCUACGGGAGGCAGCAGUGGGGAAUUUUGGACAAUGGGCGAAAGCCUGAUCCAGCAAUGCCGCGUGUGUGAAGAAGGCCUUCGGGUUGUAAAGCACUUUUGUCCGGAAAGAAAUCCUUGGCCCUAAUACGGUCGGGGGAUGACGGUACCGGAAGAAUAAGCACCGGCUAACUACGUG